This is a long non-coding RNA of Ostrea edulis (European flat oyster), 347 nucleotides long. RefSeq lists it as uncharacterized. The transcript has 3 exons. Lineage: Eukaryota; Metazoa; Mollusca; Bivalvia; Ostreida; Ostreidae. The record is from RefSeq and is a predicted model, not a curated record.
GUAAUACUGGUACAUUAUAAAAGCCUAGUGUGGUCCCCGCCCAUUUUUAAUACUGACAUGUAAAAUUAUAACUUGGCGGGGCUGGAGACCAGAUGAAUGAAAGUCGUAAAUUUAAUUCAAAAUCCACACCUAUUUAAACAAUUCUUUUUAUGAGAGGUGAAGAUAACGAACAGUGAUCAACCUCAUCUUCCAACAAGCAACACAAAAAUAGAGGACUGAGUAAACACGGACCCCAGAGGUGGGAUUAGGUGCCUAAGAGGGUGAAUGAUCAUGGAGAUGCUAGGGCAACAUAUGAAAGUUUACAUAUUCAGAGCGAUGAGAACAAAUAUGAAGCUUUACAAGAUCAA